Molecule: microRNA precursor, 171 nt
Filed under: Medicago truncatula (barrel medic)
Lineage: Eukaryota; Viridiplantae; Streptophyta; Magnoliopsida; Fabales; Fabaceae
Description: MIR2619 microRNA precursor family
Rfam family: MIR2619 microRNA precursor family
Source: Rfam by way of RNAcentral
AAACCGCCCCCUAAGUUUUGCAAUUGUAGCUGUUUUGGCCCCCGAAGACCAAUUUUUAGUAAAAAAAAAAAACAUGUGGCGCCUCACUUAAGGUGCUACGUCAGCAUAGACCGAGUCAAAAUUGGUCUUGGAGGCCAAAACUGCCACAUAUGCAAAACUUAGGGGCGGUUU